RNAcentral lists this long non-coding RNA (2812 nucleotides) under Amphibalanus amphitrite. Its description in RNAcentral is "uncharacterized LOC122383170". The record is from RNAcentral. Lineage: Eukaryota; Metazoa; Arthropoda; Thecostraca; Balanomorpha; Balanidae.
UUCUGUGGUUCAGUUGAGAUUCAAAUCAAAGUAGGUAAAAGGUAACUAGGCCAAGGCCAAAGGUAGUUGAUGUUUUGAUUGAUUUGUCUUGUAGUUGUGGUAAUUAUCCUACCAAGUAUGCUCUAUCCCAACGGCCAGUUGACGAAGCAUGGCAAUUUCGACGAGAUGUUGUCAUCGUGGGGUUGUUCAGCUGGUGUGGGUUUGGUGCGUUGCGGAUUUGGCUUGGUGCAGCACAGAUUUAGUGUAGCGUGGUGCGAGUUUGGCCUGGGUGGUGUUUCACCGGUGAUAGUGAUUGCAGCACGCUGCUAUUACAUGUGUCAAAUUAGGUUUCCAUGGAGACAUCAACAAGCCCCAUUCACAUUGCUUCAACACAACCACAAGUGUGACGUCAGCAGAAUAGCAGCGUGCUGCUAUCACCGGUGAAACACCACCCUGGUGACGGACUUGACGGGGUGUCAAUAAAGCUGGAGUCACCUUCAGCGCCAGCCAGUAAAUGUGUAGAUAAAAGGAAGCUGAAAUUUAAAAACAAUCUAACCUCACCUAACCUAAUUUAUUGACUAAUAACAUACUAACCUAUACCCUACACCCUACCAACUGAUGGUGACACCAGCUUUAACAUAAACCGUAGGUUGUAGUUUAGUAGGUAAGGUUAGGUCAGGUUAGAUAAUGUUUUUUUCUGUUAGACUAAGUAGGUAUUUGAUUAGAUUUAAAAGCGAAUUUUGUGUAAAUGUCUCAAGAACUGGAGAGUCUAGCGACUUCACAAAUGGGUGGCAGCAUGUGAGAUGCCUGCUAUAUGAAUACCAGAAAUCCUUCUCUAUGCCUUAACCCCCUGUUCUGGGCUGGGCAGACAAUUUCAUCCCAUGUGGGAAGCUCCCCUAGGAGCAUACACGGAGCCAGGUGCAGUGUCAGGGGCUGGGUGCCCUGUCCACUGGAUGGGCUCAGCCCCAAUAACUUGUACCAGGGUGCUUGCCCAUACCAAUAGCUCCCCCUAAUUCCUAUCAUUCCUCCAACUCUGUAGUCUUUUUGGGCCAAAACUUGAAAGAGCCCAGCCCAACAAAACUUUAAAUUGAUUUUGUAACAUGUGGCAUAGUACUAACUAUUUUGCCAGUCUGGCAACAUCCCAUUACUGCCUUGACUGGCUUUCUUCUCUCUCAGGCUGAUCCUGUGUCACAGAGCCACAUAGAUGAGCAGCUACCCAUCGUAGGAUGCACACUCAACCUCCUGCUAGUUUCUGAGCCAAGUCAGCUUGACAGAGGGGUCUGCUAAUGCACAGCCACCUAGCCACUGCUAACAGAUGCUGGCUGGGACAGACGUUCAUCAAAGGUGUGCCACACGACAUGGGCAUUCUCGUUCUGCAUCAAGCCUCAAGGUGCCUCAGCCAAACGGCAGUGAGAAAUAAGGGUUGGAAUAAAAGAAGAGGACUGAGCAGAAAAUCCAUUUACCACAAUUUUAUCACUGUGGACCAUCGCGAAUGCGUAGUGUAAUAAACCUAUUAACUUAGCAGACCAGCACGCUCAAGAGAUCUUGGAAACUGGACCCCAGAUCAGUAGAUGCAGACAUGCACAUGCAGACGAAACACCAGCGCCAUGCAUGGGGCCCAAUCUCACCAUGGAAAUGCCCAAGCACACAGCUCAAGCCAUGCUGCCAUCCACAUGACGUGCGGACAGGUAUCCAUUAUCAGACUAGAUAUGUGAUAUCUGAUUUUUUUAUAACAUAGCCAUUUGCAAUCUUUUGUGGCGAUGGAACUUUCUUAGCAUAAAAGACCGCCGUUGUGUACCGUGCCUGUGGCCAGCUUAGUCGUUUCCAUUGUAUGCUUUGUGGUUUUUUAGUUCUGAGCAUGUUAUCUUUCAACAGGCUCGUUGCUGUCGGCGGUUCUGAAGACAGCGGUUCGAUCCAGCUGAAGGACGUCACCUGGCAGAAAGUUGCAGAGUGUAGUGGCCAGUAUCAAGCCACAUUGUCCAGAAACCAUCACAUUAUCUCCAGGUCACUAGUCGCCGGUGCUCGAGCUGACGGCGUCGUUCGAGGGCUCCACGGUGACAAGCGCCGUCACCGCUGCCGCCGCCGCCGAGACCAUCCGACUCCUGGGCCCUGUUUCACGGCAGCGUACUACAGCGCGCUACGCAGCGCUGCUGUGUUAGUGCGGCGAUUGAGACGAAUUCGGCUCGACGCUCCAGCGUUGCGAAACACCCGUGUCUAUGAAGGAUACGCCGAUACGUCUCCCAGCUUCAAGCCCUUCCCGCCCCCCCCCCCCCCGCCCCGUCCCAACGGUGUUGGCCGAGAUUGGGGUUUGGUAUUUUAACGGGCUCUCCGAUGACGUCCCGCAAUUUGUGUUAUGUAAUUUGACGAUUAUGUCGUAGUCUCAUUCUGUCUCGAUAUGCUAAUAAAUGAUAAAUGGGACGGAGGUUGGAAGUAAGGUGUGAGUGGCUGUAACCGGCAGGUUUUGGCGAGCGCGAUAUUAGUUAUCGUGAGCGCGCCAGCUGCGCGCUUCUGGCGAGAAAAUACUUGCUCUGGAACCUAGAAGUUUGUCGUGAAAUCUAUGUACCUUUGGAUUGAAUUAUUAGAACAUAAUGUACUUUCGGUGUCCAGCACUGCAGCUCUGGAAACAGAAAUAUGGAUGUUGGCUGUUUGAUGUAGUAAGGGCUAACAAUCCGCGUCAAGAAUCAAAAGCUGUAUGCAAAUUUAAGUGAAUAUAUUUCAAUGAAUUUUUAAAUUUUGUGAUACAAAACAUAAAUGUGUCAACUACUGAUUACACCCGGCUGCAAACACUGUAACGCUUGCAAUGCUGUACGGCAAAUAGAUAAUAUAGAUUCUC